This 346-nucleotide ribosomal RNA is filed under the name uncultured Lysinibacillus sp. RNAcentral's name for it is "bacterial SSU rRNA". It matches the Rfam family "Bacterial small subunit ribosomal RNA", at positions 505 to 850 of the family's 1533-position model. The record is from RNAcentral. Lineage: Bacteria; Bacillati; Bacillota; Bacilli; Caryophanales; Bacillaceae.
GUGCCAGCCGCUGCGGUAAUACGUAGGUGGCAAGCGUUGUCCGGAAUUAUUGGGCGUAAAGCGCGCGCAGGCGGUCCUUUAAGUCUGAUGUGAAAGCCCACGGCUCAACCGUGGAGGGUCAUUGGAAACUGGGGACUUGAGUGCAGAAGAGGAAAGUGGAAUUCCAAGUGUAGCGGUGAAAUGCGUAGAGAUUUGGAGGAACACCAGUGGCGAAGGCGACUUUCUGGUCUGUAACUGACGCUGAGGCGCGAAAGCGUGGGAGCAAACGAGGAUUAGAUACCCUGGUAGUCCACGCCGUAAACGAUGAGUGCUAAGUGUUAGGGGGUUUCCGCCCCUUAGUGCUGCA